AACCAGUGAUGUAAUGAUUCUGCCAAAUGAGAUAAAAUGAUAUCACCUAUAAAACCGUUCCACUUUGUUUCUGAGGUU
This 78-nucleotide small nucleolar RNA is filed under the name Castor canadensis (American beaver). Its description in RNAcentral is "Small nucleolar RNA SNORD47 (ENSCCNG00000020068.1)". It matches the Rfam family "Small nucleolar RNA SNORD47". From Rfam's summary of the family: U47 belongs to the C/D class of snoRNA which contain the C (UGAUGA) and D (CUGA) box motifs. Most of the members of the box C/D family function in directing site-specific 2'-O-methylation of substrate RNAs. The record is from Rfam by way of RNAcentral. Lineage: Eukaryota; Metazoa; Chordata; Mammalia; Rodentia; Castoridae.